RNAcentral lists this long non-coding RNA (542 nucleotides) under Columba livia (rock pigeon). RNAcentral's name for it is "partial uncharacterized LOC102087670". Lineage: Eukaryota; Metazoa; Chordata; Aves; Columbiformes; Columbidae. The record is from RNAcentral.
UGCUUGAAAAUAUGAUUAUUUUUAAUUGUUUUUCUUCUGUUUUUCCUCUCCGGAUCCUAUUCGGGUUGUAUCUAUAUCAGGAUCCUGCUCCUCGGCAUUUGAACCGGCUAAAAUUAGAUGGUUGGUUCAUCCCUCCCGGCGCAGCUGUCGCCUCCGCCCCCAAAUUAAUUAAAAUAAAGCGACUCUGUGUAACAUUUUCCUCAUGAUCCGCCAAAAAUCUGCAGCACGGACCAACCCCCACCUCAAAACAACCAUUUCUGGCGCCGGGAGUGAAAAAUAACACCUUUAAAUCCAAUUUGGCAUCGUUAAAACUCAACCCUGACGCUCGGUCCAAGAAGCUCCCGGUGACGAUGGAGUCGGGGAAACGGAGCGCAGAUCUCGAACAACGAGAUGCAAAAAUCAGGAAAUUAACGGAAGAAUUUGAAGAAAGCGACACCGAACAUGGCGAAUGCGACGCAAAAAUCAAGGAACGCGACAGAAAAAUUACCAAACUCGCAGCAGAAAUCCGUAAGUCUUUGUCUGCGCUAAGCAGGGUCGGGCCC